GAUGAACGCUAGCUACAGGCUUAACACAUGCAAGUCGAGGGGAAACGAUAUUGGAAGCUUGCUUCCGAUAGGCGUCGACCGGCGCACGGGUGAGUAACGCGUAUCCAACCUGCCCAUCACUUGGGGAUAACCUUGCGAAAGUAAGACUAAUACCCAAUGACGUCUCUAGAAGGCAUCUGAAAGAGAUUAAAGAUUGAUCGGUGAUGGAUGGGGAUGCGUCUGAUUAGCUUGUUGGCGGGGUAACGGCCCACCAAGGCGACGAUCAGUAGGGGUUCUGAGAGGAAGGUCCCCCACAUUGGAACUGAGACACGGUCCAAACUCCUACGGGAGGCAGCAGUGAGGAAUAUUGGUCAAUGGGCGAGAGCCUGAACCAGCCAAGUAGCGUGCAGGAUGACGGCCCUAUGGGUUGUAAACUGCUUUUAUAAGGGAAUAAAGUGGGAGUCGUGACUCCUUUUGCAUGUACCUUAUGAAUAAGGACCGGCUAAUUCCGUGCCAGCCGCCGCAGUAA
Molecule: ribosomal RNA, 508 nt
Filed under: uncultured bacterium
Lineage: Bacteria
Description: partial 16S ribosomal RNA
Rfam family: Bacterial small subunit ribosomal RNA
Source: RNAcentral